AAAUUGAAGAGUUUGAUCAUGGCUCAGAUUGAACGCUGGCGGCAGGCCUAACACAUGCAAGUCGAACGGUAACAGGAAGAAGCUUGCUUCUUUGCUGACGAGUGGCGGACGGGUGAGUAAUGUCUGGGAAACUGCCUGAUGGAGGGGGAUAACUACUGGAAACGGUAGCUAAUACCGCAUAACGUCGCAAGACCAAAGAGGGGGACCUUCGGGCCUCUUGCCAUCGGAUGUGCCCAGAUGGGAUUAGCUAGUAGGUGGGGUAACGGCUCACCUAGGCGACGAUCCCUAGCUGGUCUGAGAGGAUGACCAGCCACACUGGAACUGAGACACGGUCCAGACUCCUACGGGAGGCAGCAGUGGGGAAUAUUGCACAAUGGGCGCAAGCCUGAUGCAGCCAUGCCGCGUGUAUGAAGAAGGCCUUCGGGUUGUAAAGUACUUUCAGCGGGGAGGAAGGGAGUAAAGUUAAUACCUUUGCUCAUUGACGUUACCCGCAGAAGAAGCACCGGCUAACUCCGUGCCAGCAGCCGCGGUAAUACGGAGGGUGCAAGCGUUAAUCGGAAUUACUGGGCGUAAAGCGCACGCAGGCGGUUUGUUAAGUCAGAUGUGAAAUCCCCGGGCUCAACCCGGGAACUGCAUCUGAUACUGGCAAGCUUGAGUCUCGUAGAGGGGGGUAGAAUUCCGGUGUAGCGGUGAAAUGCGUAGAGAUCUGGAGGAAUACCGGUGGCGAAGGCGGCCCCCUGGACGAAGACUGACGCUCAGGUGCGAAAGCGUGGGGAGCAAACAGGAUUAGAUACCCUGGUAGUCCACGCCGUAAACGAUGUCGACUUGGAGGUUGUGCCCUUGAGGCGUGGCUUCCGGAGCUAACGCGUUAAGUCGACCGCCCUGGGAGUACGGCCGCAAGGUUAAAACUCAAAUGAAUUGACGGGGGCCCGCACAAGCGGUGGAGCAUGUGGUUUAAUUCGAUGCAACGCGAAGAACCUUACCUGGUCUUGACAUCCACGGAAGUUUUCAGAGAUGAGAAUGUGCCUUCGGGAACCGUGAGACAGGUGCUGCAUGGCUGUCGUCAGCUCGUGUUGUGAAAUGUUGGGUUAAGUCCCGCAACGAGCGCAACCCUUAUCCUUUGUUGCCAGCGGUCCGGCCGGGAACUCAAAGGAGACUGCCAGUGAUAAACUGGAGGAAGGUGGGGAUGACGUCAAGUCAUCAUGGCCCUUACGACCAGUGGCUACACACGUGCUACAAUGGCGCAUACAAAGAGAAGCGACCUCGCGAGAGCAAGCGGACCUCAUAAAGUGCGUCGUAGUCCGGAUUGGAGUCUGCAACUCGACUCCAUGAAGUCGGAAUCGCUAGUAAUCGUGGAUCAGAAUGCCACGGUGAAUACGUUCCCGGGCCUUGUACACACCGCCCGUCACACCAUGGGAGUGGGUUGCAAAAGAAGUAGGUAGCUUAACCUUCGGGAGGGCGCUUACCACUUUGUGAUUCAUGACUGGGGUGAAGUCGUAACAAGGUAACCGUAGGGGAACCUGCGGUUGGAUCACCUCCUUA
This 1542-nucleotide ribosomal RNA is filed under the name Escherichia coli. RNAcentral describes it as "bacterial SSU rRNA". It matches the Rfam family "Bacterial small subunit ribosomal RNA". The record is from RNAcentral. Lineage: Bacteria; Pseudomonadati; Pseudomonadota; Gammaproteobacteria; Enterobacterales; Enterobacteriaceae.